GACGAACGCUGGCGGCGUGCUUAACACAUGCAAGUCGAACGGAAAGGCCCUGCUUUUGUGGGGUGCUCGAGUGGCGAACGGGUGAGUAACACGUGAGUAACCUGCCCUUGACUUUGGGAUAACUUCAGGAAACUGGGGCUAAUACCGGAUAGGAGCUCCUGCUGCAUGGUGGGGGUGGGAAAGUUUCGGCGGUUGGGGAUGGACUCGCGGCUUAUCAGCUUGUUGGUGGGGUAGUGGCUUACCAAGGCUUUGACGGGUAGCCGGCCUGAGAGGGUGACCGGCCACAUUGGGACUGAGAUACGGCCCAGACUCAUACGGGAGGCAGCAGUGGGGAAUAUUGCACAAUGGGCGGAGGCCUGAUGCAGCAACGCCGCGUGCUGGAUGACGGCCUUCGGGUUGUAAACCGCUUUCGCCUGUGACGAAGCGUGAGUGACGGUAAUGGGUAAAGAAGCACCGGCUAACUACGUG
Molecule: ribosomal RNA, 468 nt
Filed under: uncultured bacterium
Lineage: Bacteria
Description: partial 16S ribosomal RNA
Rfam family: Bacterial small subunit ribosomal RNA
Source: RNAcentral